Molecule: ribosomal RNA, 301 nt
Filed under: uncultured bacterium
Lineage: Bacteria
Description: partial 16S ribosomal RNA
Rfam family: Bacterial small subunit ribosomal RNA
Source: RNAcentral
CAGCCGCCGCGGUAAGACGGAGGGUGCUAGCGUUGUUCGGAAUCACUGGGCGUAAAGGGCGCGUAGGCGGCCUGUUAAGUCGGAUGUGAAAGCCCGGGGCUCAACCCCGGAACUGCAUCCGAGACUGGCAGGCUUGAGACCGGGAGAGGAGGGUGGAAUAUCCAGUGUAGAGGUGAAAUUCGUAGAUAUUGGAUGGAACACCGGUGGCGAAAGCGGCUCUCUGGCCCGGAUCUGACGCUGAGGCGCGAAAGCGUGGGGGAGCAAACAGGAUUAGAUACCCCGGUAGUCCCUGUCUCUUAUA